RNAcentral lists this transfer RNA (64 nucleotides) under uncultured Porticoccus sp. It matches the Rfam family "tRNA", at positions 6 to 65 of the family's 71-position model. Rfam says of the family: Transfer RNA (tRNA) molecules are approximately 80 nucleotides in length. Their secondary structure includes four short double-helical elements and three loops (D, anti-codon, and T loops). Lineage: Bacteria; Pseudomonadati; Pseudomonadota; Gammaproteobacteria; Cellvibrionales; Porticoccaceae. RNAcentral also lists the same sequence under 1 other name. The record is from RNAcentral.
CUUAGCUCAGCUGGAUAGAGCAACGGCCUUCUAAGCCGUAGGUCGCAGGUUCGAAUCCUGCAGG